RNAcentral lists this unclassified non-coding RNA (355 nucleotides) under soil metagenome. RNAcentral's name for it is "partial contains 5.8S ribosomal RNA, internal transcribed spacer 2, and large subunit ribosomal RNA". The stretch from base 1 to 120 matches the Rfam family "5.8S ribosomal RNA", at positions 35 to 154 of the family's 154-position model. The record is from RNAcentral.
GAUGAAGAACGCAGUGAAAUGCGAUAAGUAGUGUGAAUUGCAGAAUUCAGUGAAUCAUCGAAUCUUUGAACGCACAUUGCGCCUUCUAGUAUUCUGGGAGGCAUGCCUGUUUGAGAGUCAUUAAACCUCUCUCAAGUAUGAUUACUUGGAUGUGAAGGAAGAGUACCUUAAACUUAAGGAGUGUUCUCCUUUGAAAUUGAUUAGCAGAUGGUAAUGUUAUUAAAUCCCUGAUGUUGUAAGAAAUAACAGUGGUUUUGUAGACUAUUAUCUAGCUUUAAAUUAUAAUUUUUAUUAUGGUUGACCUCAAAUCAGGUAAGGAUACCCGCUGAACUUAAGCAUAUCAAUAAGCGGAGGA